UCAAAUUAUUUAGGACAUAUGGGGCAUCCAGACACUUUAUUAUUUUUUAUUUAUUCAAAUGAUAGUCUUAAAGGAUCCUUUUGAAUUUGGAAGCAUUCAUAUUCUCCAAACAUAAGUGAGCAAUUGUAGACACUCCCAGACCUGCCUAUUUUAAAUAAAAUUUUGUGGGUCUAUCUAGAAGGAGGCUUAGUUUCUGGAGAGGUUUACGAAAUAUCAGUAUCCCUGUAGUGUUUCCAACCUGAGUUCCAGUCCAACAACAACUACUACAGUGCACUCAUAAUGAUAAAAUAUUUAAAAAACUCAACUGUAUUUUUUUCUUUGAAAGGGCAUUCUCAGACGACACCCACCUCCAGAAACAAGCAGCCAGAAAAAAAGAAAAAGAAGAGGUGCCAAUUGUCUCUUCUCCUUCCCAUUUCCCAAGCUUCCAGCCACACUUAGCAUUUCCUCUACAGUGAUCACACUCACACCUCCGAGUGUUACCAAGGCUAUGAUCACUUUGUAAGCCUUCUCGGGGAAGUCCUCUUAUAAUUCCUCCCGCCCCCUGAAAGCUAACUCAAUCUGUGCAUCUAGAGGGAUUUAACAAGUCAAUGGUCUGAAGUGAUUUUAACUCCUUUAUUUCUUUUUUCCUGGUGAUAGUCUUUCUGAAGGAGGAACAAAUUUCCCUGGUGAUAAAAUUCCCACAAAAGCUUUUUAGUUUUAGCUUAUGAUGACUCUCUGUUGAUUACUCCGAGGAUGAAAAGACCACUUCCCGGAGAUAACUGAAUACCUGCACUAGCUCUCCACAUAACCCUACAACAGCGUGUGUGUGGCUGUCAGAGGAAUGGAAUUGGUAAGAGCAAAGAUAGUAAGCAAGGUAGGUCACCAACUGGAUUACAGAGAAUGAUGUGUGUGUGUGUGUGUGUGUGUGUGUGUGUGUGUGUGUACACGUAGAAUUCUCUAAGGAAUGACAGCAUGAAUAUUUUAUACAAAAAUAUCUUUUCUAAAUUUUUGGAAAUCUAUCUUUGAUAAUUUUUUAAAAAGCACAUGAAAGUUGGAUAAUUGCAGGUCCAUCUUGGGCUGCAUGUACACAUUUCAAACAUGUUUGGAGGCCAUUUAAAAAUUCAGGGAUAAAGCCCAAUGAAAAUAUUUACAAACUAAUAUGAAAAUCUACCCAUGACAGCACUCAAUGAAUGGAAACUUCUGAGAGUGGCUUUGUAGUACUAAAAAAGACAUCAUUUUAGGGGAAGUUAAGAGUUGUGCUAUUUAUUCCAUCAAUAUAGAAACACUAAGCCAUUAUUAAACUAUGUGCUUGUAAAAAGAUAGAAGGGGUUGAAGUUCAAGUAAAUACAGAAGCACCCAUUUACGAAUGACUUGCAAUGGGAAAACCAGUCCAUUUAGCACUGUUAUUUAAGAGAUAAACAUAGCUUUGCAAGGGGGCAGGCUCUUUCCUCUACCCCAACAUUACCCCUAUCAAAAGUUCCCCUAUGUAUGGGCUGUGAACUCCUCUCCACUUUUCAAAUUCCCAUUUUCCUAUGCCAGAGACACCUACACAAAGUAGGGAGUAAAGUGUUUUUCCACAUGAACCGCUUGCCAGUUUUCAGGGAAUGAUUUCUCUAUUCUUUUGCAUUGCAGGCUUACAUAUUCUAGCCAGCCAGUUCCUUUUGGGGUGAAUUCAGUUUCCUAAUCCAUAAAAGUAAUUCAGUAUAAGAGUGAAAGGUAAAGGGUCACAGUGCGUCACUAGGAAAAACUGGCUUGGUUCAGUCUCACUCGGUGCUUUGAUGGCAGUGACCUCUGGAGCUACUUUGGACACUGGUAGGAAUACUUCUGGUGGACCGGAAGAGGCUGUUGGCAUCAGGUGGGAGGUCGGGGAUGGGUGGACCUCCCAUUAUUUUCAGGGAAGAACAGUGUGUUGAAUUGUUCUGCAGCCCACAUGGUUUUCAAGUGUUCCACAGCUAUUCAUGUAGUUGAAAAGCCUAUUUAUAAUUAUAUGGGCUUAUAAUUUGAAUCUGUUCUGCAAAUAAAGUACUUUUUGUACAGUUUUCAUAUAUACUGAAUUUUCUUUUUUUCUUUUUGGUACCAGGGAUUGAACUUGGGACCUUGUGCUUGCGAGGCAGGUGGCAGAACCACUGAGCUAAAUCCCUGGCCCUAUACUGAAUUUUCUAGGAGCGCAACCACCUUAUACAUUGCAGCACCUUGAGCACGUCUCGAAUGUGGGAAGAUGAGCAUUUGCUCUCAGCUGACUAUGGACAGCAAUCUCUGAAAAGCUAUGAAGCAAAACUAUUGGAGAAAAGAACCUCAAGCACAGCAAGCUUGUAGACUCGGACACAGGAGGCGACACCAGCACCAUUUUCACUUAUCUAUAACUUGUACCUCUUUCUGACACGAGAGAACGAACAGAAGGAUGAGGGGCAGCACACCAGUCUUGGUGAAACAUGUUCGCCUGGAUACGACACGUUUCUUACUGUUA
Molecule: long non-coding RNA, 2446 nt
Organism: Fukomys damarensis (Damara mole-rat)
Lineage: Eukaryota; Metazoa; Chordata; Mammalia; Rodentia; Bathyergidae
Exons: 3
Source: RefSeq, a predicted model, not a curated record